This 545-nucleotide ribosomal RNA is filed under the name uncultured bacterium. Its description in RNAcentral is "partial 16S ribosomal RNA". It matches the Rfam family "Bacterial small subunit ribosomal RNA", at positions 355 to 891 of the family's 1533-position model. The record is from RNAcentral.
UGGGGAAUUUUGGACAAUGGGCGAAAGCCUGAUCCAGCAAUGCCGCGUGUGUGAAGAAGGCCUUCGGGUUGUAAAGCACUUUUGUCCGGAAAGAAAUCCUUGGCUCUAAUACAGUCGGGGGAUGACGGUACCGGAAGAAUAAGCACCGGCUAACUACGUGCCAGCAGCCGCGGUAAUACGUAGGGUGCAAGCGUUAAUCGGAAUUACUGGGCGUAAAGCGUGCGCAGGCGGUUUGCUAAGACCGAUGUGAAAUCCCCGGGCUCAACCUGGGAACUGCAUUGGUGACUGGCAGGCUAGAGUAUGGCAGAGGGGGGUAGAAUUCCACGUGUAGCAGUGAAAUGCGUAGAGAUGUGGAGGAAUACCGAUGGCGAAGGCAGCCCCCUGGGCCAAUACUGACGCUCAUGCACGAAAGCGUGGGGAGCAAACAGGAUUAGAUACCCUGGUAGUCCACGCCCUAAACGAUGUCAACUAGUUGUUGGGGACUUCAUUUCCUUAGUAACGUAGCUAACGCGUGGAAGUUGACCGCCUGGGGAGUACGGUCGCAA